RNAcentral lists this ribosomal RNA (433 nucleotides) under uncultured bacterium. RNAcentral describes it as "partial 16S ribosomal RNA". It matches the Rfam family "Bacterial small subunit ribosomal RNA", at positions 29 to 507 of the family's 1533-position model. The record is from RNAcentral.
AACGAACGCUGGCGGCAUGCCUAACACAUGCAAGUCGAACGAGACCUUCGGGUCUAGUGGCGCACGGUUUCGUAACGCGUGGGAACCUUCCCUUAUGUUCGGAAUAACUCCCCGAAAGGGGUGCUAAUACCGGAUAAUGUCUUCUGACCAAAGAUUUAUCGCCUUUGGAUGUGCCCGCGUUGGAUUAGCUAGUUGGUAGGGUAAAAGCAUACCAAGGCGACGAUCCAUAACUGGUCAGAGAGGAUGAUCAGCCACACUGGGAGUGAGAAACGGCCCAGACUCCUACGGGAGGCAGCAGAGGGGAAUAUUGGAAAAUGGGCGAAAGGCUGAUGCAGCAAUGCUGCGUAAGUGAUGAAGGCCUUAGGGUUGAAAAGCUCUUUUAACCGGGAUGAUAAUGACAGUACCGGGAGAAUAAGCUCCGGCUAACUACGUG